This 215-nucleotide ribosomal RNA is filed under the name uncultured bacterium. RNAcentral's name for it is "partial 16S ribosomal RNA". It matches the Rfam family "Bacterial small subunit ribosomal RNA", at positions 524 to 737 of the family's 1533-position model. The record is from RNAcentral.
UACAGAGACUGCGAGCGUUAUUCGGAUUCACUGGGCGUAAAGGGUGCGCAGGUGGCCGUGUGUGUGAGGCGUGAAAGCCCGGGGCUUAACCCCGGAAUUGCACCUCAAACUACAUGGCUAGAGCAUUGGAGAGGGUAGCGGAAUUCACGGUGUAGCAGUGAAAUGCGUAGAUAUCGAUGAGGAACACCAGAGGCGAAGGCGGCUACCUGGACAAU